Molecule: ribosomal RNA, 464 nt
Filed under: uncultured bacterium
Lineage: Bacteria
Description: bacterial SSU rRNA
Rfam family: Bacterial small subunit ribosomal RNA
Source: RNAcentral
CCAGACUCCUACGGGAGGCAGCAGUGAGGAAUAUUGGUCAAUGGCCGAGAGGCUGAACCAGCCAAGUCGCGUGAGGGAAGACGGCCCUACGGGUUGUAAACCUCUUUUGUCGGGGAGCAAAGCGAACCACGUGUGGUUCAUUGAGAGUACCCGAAGAAAAAGCAUCGGCUAACUCCGUGCCAGCAGCCGCGGUAAUACGGAGGAUGCGAGCGUUAUCCGGAUUUAUUGGGUUUAAAGGGUGCGCAGGCGGGGGUGAAAGGCAGGGGUCAAAUGGGGGGGCCCACCCCCGGCCCGCCGUUGAAACUGGCAGUCUCGAGUUGGAGAGAAGUAUGCGGAAUGCGCGGUGUAGCGGUGAAAUGCAUAGAUAUCGCGCAGAACUCCGAUUGCGAAGGCAGCAUGCCGGCUCCACACUGACGCUGAGGCACGAAAGCGUGGGUAUCGAACAGGAUUAGAUACCCCUGUAC